Daphnia carinata is the source of this 2061-nucleotide long non-coding RNA. RefSeq lists it as uncharacterized. The record is from RefSeq and is a predicted model, not a curated record. Lineage: Eukaryota; Metazoa; Arthropoda; Branchiopoda; Diplostraca; Daphniidae. The transcript has 11 exons.
GUCGGGCAUUGAAGAGAGCUUAGAUCAGGACUGCUACCGUGCGCGACUGUCAUUAGCAUUAGCAUCUGGAAAUUCGUCGCUAGAACAUGUAAGAUAUCCGUAAAUGAACUUGUAAAUAAUGCUGCAUUUAUUACUCAAAAUCGCCACGAAAGUUGAAAUCUAUACUUGUGAUCUUACCAGCAUGAGGUUAUCAAAUUGCCAGCACAGCAACAGGCUUCCUAGUUAGAGUUUUGAUAAAUGUAAAUAAGCAGGAUGGCUGUGGAUAAUCGGUUGGCAUUCAAAAGAGGUGUAAUGUUUGUGCUUGGUAACCUUGGCAAAAUGUGGCAAUUCCGUUUGGGUGAUUCAUGAUUGUGUUGGUAAACCAUUGCAAUGCCACCAUAGUAAGGGCAUUGCAGUUUGGAAGUAAUUUGUCAACAAUCAAGGAAGUUAUGAUUUGUUCAAGAAUUUGCUUUUUAUUUACCUGUUUCUAUAAUUUUAGUGACUUUUCAUUAGCAUAAUGUCUAUUAAUAACAUGGUUGUCAUUCCGAGAGGUCCUCUGCUACUGGAUUGGAUUCGUUGGCAAGGUGUGGCAACCUAUGGGUGAUAAAUGAUGGUUUACCCCUUGAUACACAGCAGUUAUGUGAAAUGCUUGCACGCUCUAGAUUUGCUUUCUACGGAGAUUCAUUCAUCCAUUACCGUUGAUAAUGGUAGGUGUCAUGGCGGUUACCUUCCCAUUAAUACAGGUAUCUAAUGUAACAAAUAUGUUAAACUUUGUAUUUGUGUUGCCAGCAUGGAGAUGUCACAAUGUCAGCUAAGAUGCUUUAUAGUUUGGUGAUACUGUCUUGUUGUAGAUAAAAUAAAGUGGCUGGCUUUUUUCAACUAGAUGGUGUUGCAGGAUUAGGGAUGAUUUCCUUUCUAUAAUUUGUGAUUUAAUUUGCCCAAGGUUAUUGUUUUUGUGUCAAUUUGUUACAUCUUACCAGCGUUGGGUUGUCAAAAUGCCACCAUAGUAAGGGCUUAGAAGUUUGGAAGUGACUGUUUAUCAGCAGGGUGGUUGGUGAUACCCUAGAUUGAUUCCAAGAGGUCCUCUAUUACUGGCUCGGAGUUCUUGGCAACGUGCUUACCCUGUGAUGUACAACACUCAAAUAAGUUGCUUGUGGGUAGUUCAACGUAAAUGCUUCUUGGUUACGCGGAUUAGCGUCGUGUUGUACAAAAAAUUAAAUUCCUAUUUUGCUGGUUUCGCAGACAAGCAAAUUGAAAUCAAAUGAGCUUGUAAUUUGGUUAGGUCAUCACUGUAAAACAGAUUGCAAUCGUGGGCAUCCCAGAAUCAGAAAUUUGGGCAAACAGCUUCCAAAUAUAUUAGGACAUUUUUCUCCUUUGCGUUUGCGAAGGUGACACGCGAACAAAUCAAAUUAUGACACUUACCAGUCUACAUAUUAUCUUCCUGCGUCAACACAAUACCCUAGCCACUAAGCUGGGGUCUAUUAAUCCGCAUUGGAGUGAUGAAGUUCUUUAUCAGGAGACUCGACGGAUUAUUGGCGCUUUGAUCAACACAUCACUUAGUUUUCCGUCAUCCAUCUCCAAUGAAUCCGCGCGUUAACUGUAAUUCGGCGCAUAUUCUUCGUCUGAAUCUUGCCGCCUGGAAACAAUUAACUCCUUAUUAAAUAUUUCAGUUAUAUACAUAAUGUGUGGAUAGACCGUCGGUUGGUGGUUUCCAAGGACGUGGGUUCCAACUUCAACUGAUUCAAUUGCAAUAAGCGAUUCACAUCGUAGGAUUUAUUUUCUCCGUCUAAUUUACCCACUGAAAUGUUAAUGCACUUUCGACUAAAAUUCAAUAUUUUUAAAAGUGUGAAAAGAUUAUUCACAAGUGAGGAUGAAAUAUAGCCUAUAUAUAUUUACGCAACGUGUCGUUAUGUGUGAUCAUCGCAUUUUGACAAUGUAGUUCUCUGAUGAAUCCAGAAAAUCGACCAUCCCACUCAGUUUGGGAAGGAAUCAACAGCCCUAAAUUUACUUAUGUGUGGCAGCACAUAAGUUUCUUGCCAAUAUCAUAUAUUUGCUAGUUUCAGUUUUGAGUCACAAAUGUAA